Molecule: ribosomal RNA, 490 nt
Filed under: uncultured bacterium
Lineage: Bacteria
Description: partial 16S ribosomal RNA
Rfam family: Bacterial small subunit ribosomal RNA
Source: RNAcentral
AUUGAACGCUGGCGGCAGGCCUAACACAUGCAAGUCGAACGGUAACAGGAAACAGCUUGCUGUUUCGCUGACGAGUGGCGGACGGGUGAGUAAUGUCUGGGAAACUGCCUGAUGGAGGGGGAUAACUACUGGAAACGGAGGCAAAACCCCAAAAAGGUGGAAGACCAAAGAGGGGGGACUUUCGGGCCCUUGGCCAUGGGAGGGGCCAAGAUGGGAUUAGCUAGUAGGGGGGGUAACGGCUCACCUAGGCGACGAUCCCUAGCUGGUCUGAGAGGAUGACCAGCCACACUGGAACUGAGACACGGUCCAGACUCCUACGGGAGGCAGCAGUGGGGAAUAUUGCACAAUGGGCGCAAGCCUGAUGCAGCCAUGCCGCGUGUAUGAAGAAGGCCUUCGGGUUGUAAAGUACUUUCAGCGGGGAGGAAGGGAGUAAAGUUAAUACCUUUGCUCAUUGACGUUACCCGCAGAAGAAGCACCGGCUAACUCCGUG